CCUACGGGAGGCAGCAGUGAGGAAUAUUGGUCAAUGGACGAGAGUCUGAACCAGCCAAGUAGCGUGAAGGAUGACUGCCCUAUGGGUUGUAAACUUCUUUUAUAAAGGAAUAAAACGAGGCACGUGUGCCUUUUUGCAUGUACUUUAUGAAUAAGGAUCGGCUAACUCCGUGCCAGCAGCCGCGGUAAUACGGAGGAUCCGAGCGUUAUCCGGAUUUAUUGGGUUUAAAGGGAGCGUAGAUGGGUUGUUAAGUCAGUUGUGAAAGUUUGCGGCUCAACCGUAAAAGUGCAAUUGAUACUGGCAGUCUUGAGUACAGUUGAGGUAGGCGGAAUUCGUGGUGUAGCGGUGAAAUGCUUAGAUAUCACGAAGAACCCCGAUUGCGAAGGCAGCUUACUAAACUGUGACUGACAUUGAUGCUCGAAAGUGUGGGUAUCGAACAGGAUUAGAUACCCUUGUAGUC
RNAcentral lists this ribosomal RNA (460 nucleotides) under uncultured bacterium. Its description in RNAcentral is "partial 16S ribosomal RNA". It matches the Rfam family "Bacterial small subunit ribosomal RNA", at positions 338 to 795 of the family's 1533-position model. The record is from RNAcentral.